RNAcentral lists this ribosomal RNA (1549 nucleotides) under Enterococcus faecium EnGen0057. RNAcentral describes it as "bacterial SSU rRNA". It matches the Rfam family "Bacterial small subunit ribosomal RNA". Lineage: Bacteria; Bacillati; Bacillota; Bacilli; Lactobacillales; Enterococcaceae. The record is from RNAcentral.
AGAGUUUGAUCCUGGCUCAGGACGAACGCUGGCGGCGUGCCUAAUACAUGCAAGUCGAACGCUUCUUUUUCCACCGGAGCUUGCUCCACCGGAAAAAGAGGAGUGGCGAACGGGUGAGUAACACGUGGGUAACCUGCCCAUCAGAAGGGGAUAACACUUGGAAACAGGUGCUAAUACCGUAUAACAAUCGAAACCGCAUGGUUUUGAUUUGAAAGGCGCUUUCGGGCGUCGCUGAUGGAUGGACCCGCGGUGCAUUAGCUAGUUGGUGAGGUAACGGCUCACCAAGGCCACGAUGCAUAGCCGACCUGAGAGGGUGAUCGGCCACAUUGGGACUGAGACACGGCCCAAACUCCUACGGGAGGCAGCAGUAGGGAAUCUUCGGCAAUGGACGAAAGUCUGACCGAGCAACGCCGCGUGAGUGAAGAAGGUUUUCGGAUCGUAAAACUCUGUUGUUAGAGAAGAACAAGGAUGAGAGUAACUGUUCAUCCCUUGACGGUAUCUAACCAGAAAGCCACGGCUAACUACGUGCCAGCAGCCGCGGUAAUACGUAGGUGGCAAGCGUUGUCCGGAUUUAUUGGGCGUAAAGCGAGCGCAGGCGGUUUCUUAAGUCUGAUGUGAAAGCCCCCGGCUCAACCGGGGAGGGUCAUUGGAAACUGGGAGACUUGAGUGCAGAAGAGGAGAGUGGAAUUCCAUGUGUAGCGGUGAAAUGCGUAGAUAUAUGGAGGAACACCAGUGGCGAAGGCGGCUCUCUGGUCUGUAACUGACGCUGAGGCUCGAAAGCGUGGGGAGCAAACAGGAUUAGAUACCCUGGUAGUCCACGCCGUAAACGAUGAGUGCUAAGUGUUGGAGGGUUUCCGCCCUUCAGUGCUGCAGCUAACGCAUUAAGCACUCCGCCUGGGGAGUACGACCGCAAGGUUGAAACUCAAAGGAAUUGACGGGGGCCCGCACAAGCGGUGGAGCAUGUGGUUUAAUUCGAAGCAACGCGAAGAACCUUACCAGGUCUUGACAUCCUUUGACCACUCUAGAGAUAGAGCUUCCCCUUCGGGGGCAAAGUGACAGGUGGUGCAUGGUUGUCGUCAGCUCGUGUCGUGAGAUGUUGGGUUAAGUCCCGCAACGAGCGCAACCCUUAUUGUUAGUUGCCAUCAUUCAGUUGGGCACUCUAGCAAGACUGCCGGUGACAAACCGGAGGAAGGUGGGGAUGACGUCAAAUCAUCAUGCCCCUUAUGACCUGGGCUACACACGUGCUACAAUGGGAAGUACAACGAGUCGCGAAGUCGCGAGGCUAAGCUAAUCUCUUAAAGCUUCUCUCAGUUCGGAUUGCAGGCUGCAACUCGCCUGCAUGAAGCCGGAAUCGCUAGUAAUCGCGGAUCAGCACGCCGCGGUGAAUACGUUCCCGGGCCUUGUACACACCGCCCGUCACACCACGAGAGUUUGUAACACCCGAAGUCGGUGAGGUAACCUUUUUGGAGCCAGCCGCCUAAGGUGGGAUAGAUGAUUGGGGUGAAGUCGUAACAAGGUAGCCGUAUCGGAAGGUGCGGCUGGAUCACCU